This 847-nucleotide ribosomal RNA is filed under the name Lactiplantibacillus plantarum. Its description in RNAcentral is "bacterial SSU rRNA". It matches the Rfam family "Bacterial small subunit ribosomal RNA", at positions 57 to 876 of the family's 1533-position model. The record is from RNAcentral. Lineage: Bacteria; Bacillati; Bacillota; Bacilli; Lactobacillales; Lactobacillaceae.
GCAGUCGACGACUCUGGUAUUGAUUGGUGCUUGCAUCAUGAUUUACAUUUGAGUGAGUGGCGAACUGGUGAGUAACACGUGGGAAACCUGCCCAGAAGCGGGGGAUAACACCUGGAAACAGAUGCUAAUACCGCAUAACAACUUGGACCGCAUGGUCCGAGUUUGAAAGAUGGCUUCGGCUAUCACUUUUGGAUGGUCCCGCGGCGUAUUAGCUAGAUGGUGGGGUAACGGCUCACCAUGGCAAUGAUACGUAGCCGACCUGAGAGGGUAAUCGGCCACAUUGGGACUGAGACACGGCCCAAACUCCUACGGGAGGCAGCAGUAGGGAAUCUUCCACAAUGGACGAAAGUCUGAUGGAGCAACGCCGCGUGAGUGAAGAAGGGUUUCGGCUCGUAAAACUCUGUUGUUAAAGAAGAACAUAUCUGAGAGUAACUGUUCAGGUAUUGACGGUAUUUAACCAGAAAGCCACGGCUAACUACGUGCCAGCAGCCGCGGUAAUACGUAGGUGGCAAGCGUUGUCCGGAUUUAUUGGGCGUAAAGCGAGCGCAGGCGGUUUUUUAAGUCUGAUGUGAAAGCCUUCGGCUCAACCGAAGAAGUGCAUCGGAAACUGGGAAACUUGAGUGCAGAAGAGGACAGUGGAACUCCAUGUGUAGCGGUGAAAUGCGUAGAUAUAUGGAAGAACACCAGUGGCGAACGCGGCUGUCUGGUCUGUAACUGACGCUGAGGCUCGAAAGUAUGGGUAGCAAACAGGAUUAGAUACCCUGGUAGUCCAUACCGUAACGAUGAAUGCUAAGUGUUGGAGGGUUUCCGCCCUUCAGUGCUGCAGCUACGCAUAGCAUUCGCUUGG